CCUACGGGUGGCAGCAGUAGGGAAUAUUGCUCAAUGGGGGAAACCCUGAAGCAGCAACGCCGCGUGGAGGAUGAAGGUUUUCGGAUUGUAAACUCCUUUUUUUCGAGAAGCAAAUGACGGUAUCUAACGAAUAAGCACCGUCUAACUCCGUACCAGCAGCCGCGGUAAUACGCAGGGUGCAAGCGUUACUCGGAAUCACUGGGCGUAAAGAGCGCGUAGGCGGGAUAGCAAGUCAGAUGUGAAAUCCUAUGGCUUAACCAUAGAACUGCAUUUGAAACUGUUAUUCUAGAGUAGGGGAGAGGUAGGUGGAAUGCGUGGUGUAGGGGUAAAAUCCGUAGAGAUCAAGAGGAAUACUCAUUGCGAAGGCGACAUGCUAGCACAUAACUGACGCUGAUGCGCGAAAGCGUGGGGAGCGAACAGGAUUAGAUACCCUUGUAGUC
RNAcentral lists this ribosomal RNA (440 nucleotides) under uncultured bacterium. RNAcentral's name for it is "partial 16S ribosomal RNA". It matches the Rfam family "Bacterial small subunit ribosomal RNA", at positions 338 to 795 of the family's 1533-position model. The record is from RNAcentral.